Molecule: small RNA, 411 nt
Filed under: Pongo abelii (Sumatran orangutan)
Lineage: Eukaryota; Metazoa; Chordata; Mammalia; Primates; Hominidae
Description: sense intronic
Source: RNAcentral
CCAAUGCUGACCAUCUUGACCAGAAUAGAAGAGGGAGGCAAAAUGUGUGUAUCCCUGAGCUGGAAGUUCAACCAGGCAGCUUUCAUGGGCUUCUUUCACACAAGAAGGCAAUAUCAAAAGAAAUGGAUGUGACUGCUUUACAUUAAUUUCUACUGAUCCCAUCCAAACAGACGAACAACUUGAUGCCUUCCUUUAAAAAAAAAAAAAAAUGACAUGUGGCCUUCAUAGGUUUUUUCCUUCCCCUUGAUGUAAAUCUCAAGUGUUUAAAAGGAGGAAUGAGUCUAAAUCAUAGAAAAUCUCUAUUUAGAUUGGGAUAAGCUAAUUAGCUAUUAUUUAUUGAUCCCUUGCUGUAAGUUAGACACUAUAUUCGAUGCUUUCAAUGUAUUAAAUCUGAUCCUUCUCUCAACCCUG